GACGAACGCUGGCGGCGUGCCUAAUACAUGCAAGUCGAGCGAUGAUUAAAGAUAGCUUGCUAUUUUUAUGAAGAGCGGCGAACGGGUGAGUAACGCGUGGGAAAUCUGCCGAGUAGCGGGGGGCAACGUGUGGCAACGAACGCUAAUACCGCAUAACAAUGAGAAUAGCAUGAUUCUUAUUUGAAAGAAGCAAUUGCUUCACUACUUUAUGAUCCCGCGUUGUAUUAGCUAGUUGGUAGUGUAAAGGACUACCAAGGCGAUGAUACAUAGCCGACCUGAGAGGGUGAUCGGCCACACUGGGACUGAGACACGGCCCAGACUCCCACGGGAGGCAGCAGUAGGGAAUCUUCGGCAAUUGGGGCAACCCUGACCGAGCAACGCCGCGUGAGUGAAGAAGGUUUUCGGAUCGUAAAACUCUGUUGUUAGAGAAGAACGUUAAGUAGAGUGGAAAAUUACUUAAGUGACGGUAUCUAACCAGAAAGGGACGGCUAACUACGUGCCAGCAGCCGCAGUAA
This 515-nucleotide ribosomal RNA is filed under the name uncultured bacterium. RNAcentral describes it as "partial 16S ribosomal RNA". It matches the Rfam family "Bacterial small subunit ribosomal RNA", at positions 28 to 523 of the family's 1533-position model. The record is from RNAcentral.